Molecule: ribosomal RNA, 250 nt
Filed under: uncultured prokaryote
Description: partial 16S ribosomal RNA
Rfam family: Bacterial small subunit ribosomal RNA
Source: RNAcentral
UACGUAGGAUCCGAGCAUUAUCCGGAGUGACUGGGUGUAAAGAGUUGCGUAGGUGGCAUAGUAAGUAGACAGUGAAAUCUGGUGGCUCAACCAUUCAGACUAUUAUCUAAACUGCUAAGCUCGAGACUGUUAUGGGUAACUGGAAUUUCUAGUGUAGGCGUGAAAUCCGUAGAUAUUAGAAAGAACACCGAUAGCGUAGGCAGGUUACUGGGACAGUUCUGACACUAAGGCACGAAAGCGUAGGGAGCAA